CAUGAUUUAUCUUUUCAACAAACCGUGAACUUUAUAUAUACUAUUCGUGUGUGAAUUUUAACUUCGGUUACUUUUCAUCACACCGUCAUUCGAUCUGAACAUAAGAUAGUUGGCUCGUUUGUUUAAUUUAUUAAACAAACUUUCUCAGCUUGAUUUGUUUUUGUACUUAAAACAUACAUUACAAAUCACCAAUAAAACAUAGAAA
RNAcentral lists this unclassified non-coding RNA (205 nucleotides) under uncultured fungus. RNAcentral describes it as "sequence contains ITS1, 5.8S rRNA gene". Lineage: Eukaryota; Fungi. The record is from RNAcentral.